GCCCAGUUAACAGACUGCUUCUCUCGUGCAGUGCAAAUCUUGACUGAAUUUAAUCCCCAAAACCCUUCCCCUGCAAUCCCAGUUUCUCAUGUUCCCUCUCCUACAGAAAACCAAAUUCCAACGCAAAGGAGAUCUUGUCCUCCUAGAGAAACCUGUCCUUGUCAAACUGAGCCACAGGUGCUAAACUCAACUAGAGGCCUGUUUCCUCUAAGAGAAGUACCUGAAAUAGGACGGAAUGGGGAUGUGGUGACUUUAAGACAUAGGAUACCGUUUACUCCCCAAGAAAUAAAUGAAUUUACACGAAAUAUCCCCACAUAUGAACAAGAUCCUUUUCUAGUAACAAAAAAGAUGGGAGACAUAUUUUUUCAGUAUAAUCCGUCUUACAAGGACGUUGAGAACUUACUACAGGCUUUUUUAAGUGAAUGUGAAAAAAAUAAAAUAAUUGCUCAUGUCAACAAAACCCGGGGGCGUAAUGCAGCACAUUGGCCAUCUCAGGAUCCCGAAUGGGACUAUAACAAUCCUGAGGAUUAUCUACAACUAUACCGUUGUAGAGAGGCCAUCCUCACGGCAAUGAAGGAAUGUGCAGACAGUACAGAUAAGUGGAUGGAACUUGAAAAAAUUAAGCAAAAGGAAGAAGAAACACCUUCCAGAUUUAUGGAUAAAAUAAUCGAGUUUGGGGACAGAUACUUAGAUUGGGAUCUAACUAAAGAGAGUAGUUUAAGACAAGUUAGAAGGAUCUUUGUAAAUAACUCUUGCAAAGCAAUUAAGAAUUAUUUUAGAAUGCAAUGCCCAAGAUGGUCAGAUAUGGACCUUGAAGAAUUGCGGAAAACAGCUAUAUAUGUUUUAAAGGGAAACAAAGAAAAGGAGGAAGAAAAUAAUGAUGACAUGGAGGAAAUGAAGAAAAAAAUAAGAUAUUUAAUAGAUAGGAUAACUAAAUUAGAAAGUGGGCAUGAUAAUGAACCAACGACAAUUGCCCCUCUCCAUAAAUCCAAUUAUCAAUCCAUUACUUGCCACUUCUGUGAGAAGAAGGGCCACAAAAUGAUGGAAUGUAGAACCUUUCUUAAGAUGUUUGGAAGGAAUACACAGUUUAAUAAUAGCUUUAGAAAUAAUAACUAUAGAAAUGAUGAUAAUGGUUAUAGAAACCAGAAUUCUAGAAAUUAUAAUA
Molecule: long non-coding RNA, 1165 nt
Filed under: Monodelphis domestica (gray short-tailed opossum)
Lineage: Eukaryota; Metazoa; Chordata; Mammalia; Didelphimorphia; Didelphidae
Description: lncRNA (ENSMODG00000036888.1)
Source: RNAcentral